This 1030-nucleotide long non-coding RNA is filed under the name Apteryx owenii (little spotted kiwi). RNAcentral describes it as "lncRNA (ENSAOWG00000014296.1)". Lineage: Eukaryota; Metazoa; Chordata; Aves; Apterygiformes; Apterygidae. The record is from RNAcentral.
CCUGGGCCGGGUCAAGGAUACUGUGCCUGGGGUACUGUACUGGGGGUACUGGGAGCACCGGGGGUACCGGGAGCACCGGGGGUACCGGGAUACCCUGCCUGGGGUGCCAUACCGGGGGUACCGGGGAUAUCGGGAGCACCGGGGGCACCAGGCCAGGGAUGCCAGGCUGGGGAUACCGGCGGUACCGGGGACACUGGGGGUGCCAGGCUGGCAGUACCGGGGAUACUGCAGAUACUAAGGGUGCUGGGGAUACUGGGGGUACCAGGGAUACCAGGGGCACUGGGGAUACCAGGGGUACCAGGGAUACCGAGCAGGGGGCGCCGGGGACACCGGGGGUAUCAGCGGUACUGGGGCACUGGGGAUACUAGGAAUACUGGGAAUACCGGGGGGGCCAGGCUAGCAGUACCAGGGAUACCGGGGAUAUCAAGGGCGCCAGGGAUAGCUGGGGUACCAGGGGUGCCGGGGAUACGGAGGGUACCGGGCCGGCGGUACCAGGGAUACUGGGGGCACUGGUGGUACCAGGCCAGCGGUGCGGGGGAUAUCGGCAGUACCGGGGAUACCGGGGUGCUGGGGAUACAGGCAGUACCGGGGAUAGCGAGCCAGGGACACCAGGUGUGCUGGGGAUACCGGGGUGCCGGCGGUACUGGUGAUACCGGGGGCGCUGGGGGUACCGGGCCGAGGGUACCGGGGAUAUCGGGAGCACAGGGGGCACCAGGCCAGGGAUGCCAGGCUGGGGAUACCGGUGGUACCAGGGACACCGGGGCCAGCAGUACCGGGGAUACCGAGGGUACCGGUGAUACCGGGGGCGCUGGGGGUACCGGGCGUACCGAGGCGGGAGUACGGGGGGUACCGAGGCGGGGACACCGGGUGUGCGGGGGAUACCGAGAGUACCGGUGACACCGGGAGCGCUGGGGAUACCGGGCCGGGGGUACCGAGGCAGGGACACCGGGUGUGCGGGGGAUACCGAGGGUACCGGUGACACCGGGGGCGCUGGGGGUACCGGGCCGGGGCCCCCGGGGGUAUCGGCGGC